AGUGAACGCUGGCGGUAGGCCUAACACAUGCAAGUCGAACGGCAGCACAGUAAGAGCUUGCUCUUACGGGUGGCGAGUGGCGGACGGGUGAGGAAUACAUCGGAAUCUACUUUUUCGUGGGGGAUAACGUAGGGAAACUUACGCUAAUACCGCAUACGACCUACGGGUGAAAGCAGGGGAUCUUCGGACCUUGCGCGAUUGAAUGAGCCGAUGUCGGAUUAGCUAGUUGGCGGGGUAAAGGCCCACCAAGGCGACGAUCCGUAGCUGGUCUGAGAGGAUGAUCGGCGACACUGGAACUGAGACACGGUCCAGACUCCUACGGGAGGCAGCAGUCGGGAAUAUUGGGCAAUGGGCGCAAGCCUGAUCCAGCCAUACCGCGUGGGUGAAGAAGGCCUUCGGGUUGUAAAGCCCUUUUGUUGGGAAAGAAAAGCAGCAGGUUAAUACCCCGCUGUUCUGACGGUACCCAAAGAAUAAGCACCGGCUAACUUCGUG
RNAcentral lists this ribosomal RNA (492 nucleotides) under uncultured bacterium. Its description in RNAcentral is "partial 16S ribosomal RNA". It matches the Rfam family "Bacterial small subunit ribosomal RNA", at positions 29 to 507 of the family's 1533-position model. The record is from RNAcentral.